AACUUCAAUUUUUUCAUUGUAAGACCAAUCUCCACUGUCUUCAGGUCAUUAGAACGGGCUUUCUCCAUGAAAAAUUUCUCAAUAGUGCUGCAAUGAUUGAUCACAGAACCUAAUGAGCUUGGAACACAAGCCUGUUGGAUUAAUUGUGCAUUUGAAGCAAGUUCCUGGUUCAAGCAAGGAACACUCUCUUCUACUUCUUCAGCAACAUGCACUUGAUUAUGAACAGAGACAGAAGGCAACUCAGUUGCUAAGAGACAUUCCCUGAUGCCAGAG
This 273-nucleotide unclassified non-coding RNA is filed under the name Hevea brasiliensis (rubber tree). Lineage: Eukaryota; Viridiplantae; Streptophyta; Magnoliopsida; Malpighiales; Euphorbiaceae. The record is from RNAcentral.